This 28-nucleotide non-coding RNA is filed under the name Rattus norvegicus (Norway rat). The record is from RNAcentral. Lineage: Eukaryota; Metazoa; Chordata; Mammalia; Rodentia; Muridae.
UCCGAAAGCUGGGUCCUCUGGGGCACGU